GUAUAUUAGCUUGAAUAAAAUUAAUUUUGUUAAAAACAAUGUAGUUUUAUACUAAUCAAAAUAUUGGUAAUAAGAAAUAUUUGGAAGUACGGUUAAAGGAAACUAAUUUAGAAGCUAUAGAGAAAGUACUGUGAAGGAAAAUUGAAAUAAUGUGAAAAAAUAAAAUAAUAAUAGAAAAAAUUAUAAGUUGUACCUUUUGUAUAAUGGUUUAACCAGGGAAGUUUAGACAAGUUUUAUUCCCCGAAAUUAGGUGAGCUAACCUUUUCUACUUUAAAGAAGGAUGGUUUUUACUGUUACAUUAGUAAGACUUGAGGAGAGGUUAGGUGUGAAAUGCUUAUCGUACUUAAUUAUAGCUGGUUUUUUGAGAAAUUGGUGUAAGCUGAUGGCACAGGUUUAUUGCGGAUUAAAAUUUUUUAGAAUAAAAAUUAGAGAAGGAUAAUUAAUGUGUUUUUUAGACAAGGAAGGAUAAGCUUGUUUGUUGAAAAAGAAAAAACUUUUUUUACUAGUUAAGGAUUUUUUGGGAUAUAUUAUAUAAUAAUAAUAAAGGUAGGAUUAAUACCAUCUACCCUUUUUGAGGGCGUUAAAGUUCUUCUUAUAAAAAUAAUAUAGAAAAUAUUCGAGGGAAGGUCCGAAGUUGUAGGUUUUUAUCAGGAAAUUUUAUUUUUUAGAAGUUAUAAUGUUAAAAUAAGUAAAAGAAAAGAGAUUUUUUGGGUGUUAAUCAGACCUAACCUUGGAUGGUAAAAUUAAUGAAAGGGUCAAGAACCUAGAUUUUUUAGCUGUCUUCCAACUCAGGGGAUCUCAUAAAAACAUAGAAUUAAGGAAAAGGAACUCGGCAAAUAAAAAUUUCGCCUGUUUACCAAAAACAUCGCCCCUUGAAAAGGAAUUUAUGGAUAGGGGGUCCUGCCUGCCCAGUGACUUUAGUUAAACGGCCGCGGUAUUUUGACCGUGCGAAGGUAGCAUAAUCAUUUGUCUCUUAAAUAGAGACUGGUAUGAAUGGCAAGACGGAAAUUUGGCUGUCUCUUUUUUAAUACUUUGAAAUUAAUAUUUUUGUGAAGAAGCGAAAAUUGUGUCGUAGGACGAGAAGACCCUAUCGAGCUAAAAGUUGAAUGACAGUGCAAAAUCCUAGGUUCAUUAACUAAUUUAGUUUUUUAAUUAUGAUGAUUUUAUUAGUGAAGUUUUCAGGUGCAUUUUAUGUUUGUUUUUUAAUUUUGAUUGGGGCAAUCACGGAGAAUAGGAAUCCUCCGUUAUAAAAAGUAAAAUUAAAAAGUACUUUUUUAAUUGAAAUACGUAUAUUAUUGUUUAUAUGAUCCACUUUAAUAGUGAACAAAGGAAAAAGUUACCGUAGGGAUAACAGCGUAAUUCUUUUGGAGAGUUCAUAUUGAUAAAAGAGUUUGCGACCUCGAUGUUGGAUCGAGAUUUCCAGGAGAUGCAGAAGUUUCCAAGGGUUGGUCUGUUCGACCAUUAAAAUCUUACGUGAUCUGAGUUCAGACCGGCGGGAGCCAGGUCAGUUUCUAUCCUCGAAAGGUUAUUUUUUUUAGUACGAAAGGACCAAAAAAGAAGUGCCAAUGUUUAAAAGUAAGCACUAAAAAGGAUUUCUGCUUAAAACUAAAGGUUAAGAAAGUGACUCGUUAUUUCCCCAGAAUUGUCU
RNAcentral lists this ribosomal RNA (1648 nucleotides) under Cheiraster sp. SS-2022. RNAcentral's name for it is "16S ribosomal RNA". It matches the Rfam family "Bacterial large subunit ribosomal RNA". Lineage: Eukaryota; Metazoa; Echinodermata; Asteroidea; Notomyotida; Benthopectinidae. The record is from RNAcentral.